UUACUUUGAUUUUGGUUUUGAUUGGUUAUUUUUUGAAUGUUCUAUAUUUUUUAAUAUUUUAUUUAUAAAGUUUUUGAAUUUUUAAAAUUUAGACUAAAUUGACAAUAUAUGCAAACAUUAAGGGUUAAAUUGUUGAAUUUUUUAAAAUUAGGACCAAAUGACAAUUAAGCCUUUAUGUAAUUAUAUAUAUUGUAAUACCCAAUUUUAGGCCCGGGCCCAAAUAAAUAGAUAAAAUAAUAAAUAGUCUAAAAUCUAAAAUUACACUACCCAAAUACCCUUGGCCCAAUUUCCCCAGUCCAAUUACCCUAAAACCCAAAUUAGCCUAAAACUGAAAAUUAGAAAACCCUAGAAGCUUCAGCAUCCAGCCCCGGUGCCACACGACCCACGUUGCAGCAACCGUCAUCACCCACGACACACUCCUUCCACGAUCUCCAUACCUGCGAAAACACAAAUACAAAUGGGAAUACAGACAGAAAAUAAGAAAAAGAGGGGAGAGGAGAAAAAAAAAACUUCAAAAAAAAAAAGCGAAUAGGAUUUUUUUUAGAUUGAAACAAGAAAUAGAGAAAGAAAUCAGUGUACAACGAAAUACAAAAACAAAAAUAAUAAGAAUACAGCAGUUGAUUUUGAAGGUGAUUUUCGUUGCAUUUUAUUUAUUUAUUUAUUUAUUUUCUUUGAUUCUCUGUUUUUGUGCAAAAAAAAAAGCAAAAAGAAAAGGACGGAACUUACCUGAAUCGGAGUCCGCGGCGGAGCUUUGACGGCGGUGGCUUGGUGGUAGCUAGGGCUUUAAAGAAAACCUAGCAGAUUCCCCUUUUCUUCCCUCUGUUGUUUUAAAAAGGAAGAAAAGAAGAUGAAACAAUUCUUGCGCCUAUUGCUUUAAUUUGAGAUUGAAAAGGGUUUUAAGCACUGAUGGGUUAUUUACGUUUUUAAUCCUUCCAUUUUAUCCCAUCAUUUCAAAAUCAUUAUGGUUUGUUUUCAAAUUUUUCCCAUGAAAUCUUCAAAUUGUUUUAUU
RNAcentral lists this long non-coding RNA (1009 nucleotides) under Gossypium raimondii (Peruvian cotton). RNAcentral describes it as "long non-coding RNA (GRAI_LNC001911)". Lineage: Eukaryota; Viridiplantae; Streptophyta; Magnoliopsida; Malvales; Malvaceae. The record is from RNAcentral.